UGGGGAAUUUUGGACAAUGGGCGAAAGCCUGAUCCAGCAAUGCCGCGUGUGUGAAGAAGGCCUUCGGGUUGUAAAGCACUUUUGUCCGGAAAGAAAUCCUUGGCUCUAAUACAGUCGGGGGAUGACGGUACCGGAAGAAUAAGCACCGGCUAACUACGUGCCAGCAGCCGCGGUAAUACGUAGGGUGCAAGCGUUAAUCGGAAUUACUGGGCGUAAAGCGUGCGCAGGCGGUUUGCUAAGACCGAUGUGAAAUCCCCGGGCUCAACCUGGGAACUGCAUUGGUGACUGGCAGGCUAGAGUAUGGCAGAGGGGGGUAGAAUUCCACGUGUAGCAGUGAAAUGCGUAGAGAUGUGGAGGAAUACCGAUGGCGAAGGCAGCCCCCUGGGCCAAUACUGACGCUCAUGCACGAAAGCGUGGGGAGCAAACAGGAUUAGAUACCCUGGUAGUCCACGCCCCUAAAACGAUGUCAACUAGUUGUUGGGGAUUCAUUUCCUUAGUAACGUAGCCAACGCGUGAAGUUGACCGCCUGGGGAGUACGGUCGCAAGAUUAAAACUCAAAGGAAUUGACGGGGUCAUAGCUG
Molecule: ribosomal RNA, 581 nt
Filed under: uncultured bacterium
Lineage: Bacteria
Description: partial 16S ribosomal RNA
Rfam family: Bacterial small subunit ribosomal RNA
Source: RNAcentral